GCUGGUAUGACCGAGUGGUUAAGGUGUCAGACUUAAGUCUAGGUGCAGCAAGUAAAUAAACUCAUCUAUCUCUCAAAACCUCUGAUGGGUUUGCGCCCGCACAGGUUCGAACCCUGUUGCCAGCA
Microdochium nivale is the source of this 125-nucleotide non-coding RNA. NCBI's taxonomy places the organism in Eukaryota, Fungi, Ascomycota, Sordariomycetes, Xylariales, Microdochiaceae. The record is from the annotation of a GenBank genome assembly.